UUAAGCAUAUCAAUAAGCGGAGGAAAAGAAACCAACAGGGAUUGCCUCAGUAACGGCGAGUGAAGCGGCAACAGCUCAAAUUUGAAAGCUGCCAUCAGGCCGCGUUGUAAUUUGUAGAAGCUGCUUUGGGUGUCGGCCCGGUCUAAGUUCCUUGGAACAGGACGUCAUAGAGGGUGAGAAUCCCGUAUGUGAUCGGUGCCGUUGCCCGUGUAAAGCGCUUUCGACGAGUCGAGUUGUUUGGGAAUGCAGCUCAAAAUGGGUGGUAAAUUUCAUCUAAAGCUAAAUAUUGGCCAGAGACCGAUAGCGCACAAGUAGAGUGAUCGAAAGAUGAAAAGCACUUUGGAAAGAGAGUUAAACAGUACGUGAAAUUGUUGAAAGGGAAGCGCUUGCAACCAGACUUGCGGGCGGUCGAUCAUCCGAGGUUUUCCCCGGUGCACUCGAUCGUUCUCAGGCCAGCAUCGGUUUCCGGGGUGGGAUAAAGGCGGUGGGAAUGUGGCUCUUCGGAGUGUUAUAGCCCAUCGUGCCAUGCCGCCUCCGGGGACCGAGGACCGCGCUUCGGCUAGGAUGCUGGCGUAAUGGUUGUAAGCGACCCGUCUUGAAACACGGACCAAGGAGUCUAACAUCUAUGCGAGUGUUUGGGUGUCAAACCCAUCCGCGUAAUGAAAGUGAACGGAGGUAAGAACCCGUUAGGGUGCAUUAUCGACCGAUCCUGAUGUCUUCGGAUGGAUUUGAGUAAGAGCAUAGCUGUUGGGACCCGAAAGAUGGUGAACUAUGCGUGAAUAGGGUGAAGCCAGAGGAAACUCUGGUGGAGGCUCGCAGCGGUUCUGACGUGCAAAUCGAUCGUCAAAUUUGCGUAUAGGGCGAAAGACUAAUCGAACCAUCUAGUAGCUGGUUCCUGCCGA
This 902-nucleotide ribosomal RNA is filed under the name Phialocephala sp. RNAcentral's name for it is "partial large subunit ribosomal RNA". It matches the Rfam family "Eukaryotic large subunit ribosomal RNA", at positions 34 to 964 of the family's 3401-position model. The record is from RNAcentral. Lineage: Eukaryota; Fungi; Ascomycota; Leotiomycetes; Helotiales; Mollisiaceae.